Molecule: unclassified non-coding RNA, 188 nt
Filed under: soil metagenome
Description: partial internal transcribed spacer 1
Source: RNAcentral
CAAUAAGAGUGUUUAUGGCACUCUUCAAAAAAUCCAUACCCACCUUGUGUGCAACGUAAGAAGAAAAAAAGAAGAUGCGAGUCAUGGGGAAACCCAAGUCUUGCUCCCUUUCUUUUCUCUUUUCCACAUACACCUUUCUAUUAGUUCCUAUUGUCUGAAGCUGUUAGAGAAUGACUAAUUCUUAAACA